RNAcentral lists this transfer RNA (71 nucleotides) under Camelus bactrianus (Bactrian camel). It matches the Rfam family "tRNA". Rfam says of the family: Transfer RNA (tRNA) molecules are approximately 80 nucleotides in length. Their secondary structure includes four short double-helical elements and three loops (D, anti-codon, and T loops). Further hydrogen bonds mediate the characteristic L-shaped molecular structure. tRNAs have two regions of fundamental functional importance: the anti-codon, which is responsible for specific mRNA codon recognition, and the 3' end, to which the tRNAs corresponding amino acid is attached (by aminoacyl-tRNA synthetases). tRNAs cope with the degeneracy of the genetic code in two manners: having more than one tRNA (with a specific anti-codon) for a particular amino acid; and 'wobble' base-pairing, i.e. permitting non-standard base-pairing at the 3rd anti-codon position. Lineage: Eukaryota; Metazoa; Chordata; Mammalia; Artiodactyla; Camelidae. RNAcentral also lists the same sequence under 2 other names. The record is from Rfam by way of RNAcentral.
GGGGUUAUAGCUCAGUGUGGAGCGUGUGCUUAGCAUGUCCGAGGUCCUGGGUUCAACCCCCAGUGCCUCUA